GUCUUUCUUAGAACAUAUAUUAAACUAUCAAACAUCUUUUAAAUAUGUGACUAGAAAAAAAAAAUCAAAUCUUGUUUCUUCCCCUUCACAAUUCUUCGAGAGUGAGUCUCUUUCCUCUUUUCAUUUUGUUUUCUUCACGAGUUUUUUCUUGCGCCUUUUCAUUUGUUGUUUAAAGAAAAAUAACUGAAAAUUGAGUUUUGAAU
RNAcentral lists this long non-coding RNA (203 nucleotides) under Erythranthe guttata (spotted monkey flower). RNAcentral describes it as "long non-coding RNA (EGUT_LNC000184)". The record is from RNAcentral. Lineage: Eukaryota; Viridiplantae; Streptophyta; Magnoliopsida; Lamiales; Phrymaceae.